CUGCUGCCUUCCGUAGGAGUUUGGGCCGUGUCUCAGUCCCAAUGUGGCCGUCCACCCUCUCAGGCCGGCUACUGAUCGCUGCCUUGGUGGGCCGUUACCCCGCCAACUAGCUAAUCAGACGCGGAUCCAUCUAUACCACCGGAGUUUUUCACACUGCCCCAUGCGGAGCCGUGCGCUUAUGCGGUAUUAGCACCUAUUUCUAAGUGUUAUCCCCCGGUAUACGGCAGGUUAUCCACGCGUUACUCACCCGUCCGCCA
RNAcentral lists this ribosomal RNA (257 nucleotides) under uncultured bacterium. RNAcentral's name for it is "partial 16S ribosomal RNA". The record is from RNAcentral.